This is a long non-coding RNA of Stegostoma tigrinum, 170 nucleotides long. RefSeq lists it as uncharacterized. The transcript has 3 exons. The record is from RefSeq and is a predicted model, not a curated record. NCBI's taxonomy places the organism in Eukaryota, Metazoa, Chordata, Chondrichthyes, Orectolobiformes, Stegostomatidae.
CAAAGAGAGAGACGCAGGCUCCGGUUUCUGAAUCAGCUGGCUGCCAAUCUGACAUUUGUUCGUGUCCACGAUUGGAAAGCUGUGCAGGAAAAUUGACGCUUAAGGAGAAAGACAAGGCAGAUAGCUGCUCAGACCUGCACCAAGGAUCAAGGAGAGCGAAACAAGGAGGA